This 1420-nucleotide long non-coding RNA is filed under the name Ursus maritimus (polar bear). RNAcentral's name for it is "lncRNA (ENSUMAG00000010529.1)". Lineage: Eukaryota; Metazoa; Chordata; Mammalia; Carnivora; Ursidae. The record is from RNAcentral.
UUUUAAAGAUUUUAUUUAUUUAUUUGACAGAGUGAGAGAGAGCAAGCACAAGCAAGGGGAGCGGGAAAAGCAGAAGCAGGCUCCCCUCUGAGCAGGCAGCUGAUGUGGAUGCAGGGCUCCAUCCCAGGUGCCCGGGAUCAGGACCUGAGCUGAAGGCAGACGCUCAACCGACUGAGCCACGGAGGCGCCCCUGGCAUGGGCACCUUUGACUAAGUAUCACAGGUUCUGAUCUGUCACGAGAAGACUGCUUUAGUUAGCUUAAGCUCCUAUCAAGGGCAACUCUAAAAGGACCGGCCCUCACCAAAGAAACUGAUUGCUUACCAGCAGCCCCGAGGAUGAGGAAUUUCCCCAAAGCUGGCUCCCACCUUCCACCAGGAGAGGAUCUUCUCCUAAAACAACAGCCACGGUACAGGAGUGGUGAUGGGAAACAGCAAAGCUGCGAGAGGAACAGAGCGGAGCUUCUCGGGACGUUUCCCUCCUGCAAAGGCCAGACCUGCACGUUUGCCUUCAUUUCACAGAGAAUUAUUGAGUUACUGCUACACCCGCCCCCCAGCCCUCCCCGGGUGCCAUGGCACAGCGUGGGGUUGAGGGCUCGGGCCCCCAGACCAGAAUGCUGGAUUUGAAUCCUCGCUCUGCUGGCCACCCUUGGGAAGGGAUCUGACUCCCCUGGCCUCAGCUGUCUUGUCUGGAAAGCAGGAUGGCCAUAGCAGCAUUCCCUUAGCAUGAGGUGAGGAUUAGCUGAAGUCAUUCCUAGAACAACCACUGGCACGUAGUAAGUACUCAGUGUGUGUUGGUUGUUGCUAGGAUUACUUCUGUGCUAGGCACCUGUGGGUCUCUGGUCUGAAGGUGGUCACGAGCGGUUGAGACGGACGUUCCCACGUAAACACAAAAGGUAUGACAAGGAGUAUGGUUGAUGAGUUACCAAGUGAUGGAAAAGAAUUCAGUUCUGGGGAGCAGGCAGGGGGCGAGAUUGUUGUGGCAGGAGAAGCUUCACAGAGGAAGGAAGGCUUAAGCUGGGCUUGAAAGAUGUGCAAGAUUUGGCUGGACCCCAGAAAGGCAUGACAAAUGGGGGGAGAGCUCCAGGCAAGGGGCUAGAGCCCCAAGAAUCCACAAGAAUUAAGCUAGAAGUCAAAGCAUUACGCAACUCUGACGCUUUCAAGACUACAAGCCAAACCUCUGCAAUUAAGAUUUCCAAUCAAAGUGUUGGCCUUUCUAAUAGAGAAAGAAAUAUUGAUCUGUGUUAACUUCAUCUGACAAAACUAUGUUAUAAAGUAAGGGCAACAGAGCUUAGCGUGAAGAAAUCAGAAGAGGCAUAGAUCUGUUAUAAAUAGAGCUUCGAUUUAUAAAAGGGGAGGAUAGGUAUAUCUGAUAGAGAUGUUACAGAAAUAAAAUCAUAUUGGUUGGUUGAGGUAAAAAGGAU